RNAcentral lists this ribosomal RNA (476 nucleotides) under uncultured bacterium. RNAcentral's name for it is "bacterial SSU rRNA". It matches the Rfam family "Bacterial small subunit ribosomal RNA", at positions 31 to 507 of the family's 1533-position model. The record is from RNAcentral.
GAACGCUGGCGGCGUGCCUAACACAUGCAAGUCAACUUGACGGAAGGAGCAAUCUGACCGUAGAGUGGCGCAAGGGUGCGUAACGCGUAAGUAACUUGCCCAAGGUAAGGAAUAACGUCGAGAAAUCGGCGCUAAUACCUCAUAAUGCAGCGGAUCCGCAUGGAUAUGUUGUUAAAGGUUUACCGCCUUGGGAUAGGCUUGCGUCUGAUUAGCUAGUUGGUGUGGUAACGGCACACCAAGGCUACGAUCAGUAACUGGUCUGAGAGGAUGAUCAGUCACACUGGAACUGAGACACGGUCCAGACUCCUACGGGAGGCAGCAGUGAGGAAUAUUGGGCAAUGCUCGAAAGAGUGACCCAGCAACGCCGCGUGGAGGAUGAAGGUAUUCUAUAUCGUAAACUCCUGUGAGAGCAGACGAAAGACAGAUUAUUAAUCUGGAUGACUGUAUGCUCAGAGGAAGCCCCGGCUAACUACGUG